Molecule: long non-coding RNA, 2575 nt
Organism: Triticum dicoccoides
Lineage: Eukaryota; Viridiplantae; Streptophyta; Magnoliopsida; Poales; Poaceae
Exons: 7
Source: RefSeq, a predicted model, not a curated record
AUUGCCACACGCAGCCUUCUCUCCCCUCCUCUCCCCAGAAACGCCGCCGCCGCAGCUGCCGUCUCCUCAUCUCGUUUCUUGCAGCCGCCGCCAGAUCUGGGGAGCCACCGGGAGGAGAACAACCGGCCAGACGCCACCCCCGUCGGCCUAACCCGCAUCUCCCUCGCGCCCAUCGUCCCCUCUUGGCGCUCCCGCCUCUCCUCUCCCCCAUUCUCCUGCCGCAUCCCAUCCCCUGCUCUGCCCUUGCUCCUCCGCCGUUCGAGUUGAGUCGUUGCUGCAGAGAGCGCCGCCUCACUCUCCCAGGCCUUCUCCCCAUCCGCGACGUCGGCACACGGUACGGGCAAGCUGUGGCGUGUCAUCGCCGUGCUGGGUUGGCCGACCGAUGCCGCGCGGAUCCGGUUGGACGAGGUCGUUGGCGACCUGCCGCGGGAGGGGGACAGCGGGAUCUGCGCCAGGAGUUCCAGGGCACGCGGCUGCCGCUCGUGCAGCAGAACCACGGCCUCGCCGACGCGUCCGGGGAGAACUGCGUUGGCCUGGUCUUGUAACGGGCAGGUGAAGUCAUUUUUAUGGGAUGCAAUAGUUCUUCGUCCACUUCCACGGCCCCAAAAACACAACAGCCCGCACCCGAGGCGCAGAGCAGCCAGAACCAGUGAUGAUCGUGAGAUCCUGCGGACGACGAUGGAGCUUCUUAAUCAGUUGGAUGGAUUUUAUGAGCUUAGCAAGGGGCGAUCGACGGCGGUGGCCGGUGAGAAGAGGCGGUCAUCGCAGGCGCUUGUCCGGCGGCGCCGCCGCUAGGAUGGCGCCCGUGCUACGGCUACCCAGAGAUCCUCGUCCGCGAUACGAUUUUUGGAAGGUUGAAGGUGGAAUCGAACUCCGAGCUCGAGGUUGCGCUGGUGCAGUGGUGGCUGCGAUCGGGCCCGAUCUAGGAAAAAUCUUCAUCAUUUUUGGUCUGCAUGGCGAUGAUCUGUUUCUUCAGGAUCCGCUCGUUGCCAGAGCCAGCUCGGGACGCCUCCUAGACGACGACACAAGCUUGAAGCGAGCGGAACACUGAAGGAGGAUCUUGGGGAUGAAGGAAGCGUCAGCGACGACCUCAGGCGAGAGGCAUGUAAUGCGGGUAAUACUAGAGCUUCCAGCCUCCUCAGGCUGGCGUGGGAACAUCAGUAAGGGCUUGGAGCCUGUCAAAGAGGAGGCAAAGAGGACACUGUUGAUGAAACAUGAGGCCGAGACAAAAACAAAUGCCUAUUGGCUCAGUUUGCUAACCCAUAUGCAGUCUAUAUGUGAGGCUUAUAAGUGCAUAUUCUAUGGGAAACUAGAACAAAAAUAAACCAACUCUCCAAGCCCUGGUUUCAUGGACACUCCGUGUGCAUUGUCCGUGUGCCACUUCUACUGUGGUGAACUAUACGUAGUUACUCUGACUAGAUUUUCUUGAUGCAAGUUUUCUAGACAAACUUUUGAAAGCCUGCUGACCCAUGACCAUCUCGAUGAUAGUUAUGAUCACGUAAUUCUGGGUUGAGAAGUUUGUUGAUAUAUCAAAAAGUUCCAGGGGUUGCCAUAUGAGUAGCUGAAGGAAAACAAAUAAAAUCUACUCCCUCCGUUCCAAAAUAUAAGUCUUUGUAAAGAUUCCACUAUGGACUACAUACGAAGUAAAAUGAGUGAAUUUACACUCUAAAAUGCAUCUACAUACAUCCGUAUGUGGUUCAUAGUGAAAUCUCUACAAAGACUUAUAUUUAGGACCGGAGGGAGUAUGUUCUAUGCUCUUGGUUAUACUCCACCUGGCUGCAAGUAUAAUUCUUUGGCUUGGCUGACAGUUGAGCAUGCACGUAGGGCAAUCAGUGUGUUUACUGAAUUAAGUAUAACUAAACCUUCUGCUUUUCUGCCCCCCACACCACCACCACCAAAGAAAACACAAUGAAUGCAUAUGAAGAUAAUACUGACAUGGCCAGGAAUCUUCCUCUGUAAUUUGGGCUCUAGGGCUUUUCUUGACCACGAAAUUUUUAACAACGGUUUGCUUUACAUGUAUUUGCUAAUGUAUGAUUAAAUCUGUAUAAGUUGUAUUUUUUAGUGAUAUUAUUAUUUGUUGGAUCCCAAUCCAUAUCUUAUCCUUCUUUAGUCUGUUUACUACUAUUUUCCAUACUUGUAUCAUUUACUCUACCGUUGUUUCUUCACUGGGCACACCCAUGCUGGUGCCGUCGCUCACGCUCCACCUGAACAGCGGCAACUAGGAGCUGCCGCGUGGGAACUACGUGUUCGAGGAGCAGGUCAUGUGCCUGGUGCUAGACGUGAUGGCAUGGGAUCAGACCAUCAUUACCAACUACCAGCAGCAGAACGCGCAAGUCUACGGCCUCGACAUGACGUGUUGCCCUUUGCGCCAGCGUAGGGCAACAAGCUUGCAGCGUUGCUAUAUUAAAGAGAUAGAACUUGUAGUACUGAUCACGUGAAAUGCGCCGAUGUGGUAGGCAACGAUCUUUUUUGAAUGAAAUGUACUCCCUCCGUUCCUAAAUAUAAGUCUUUGUAGAGAUUUCACUAUGGACUACAUACGGAGCAAAAUAAAUGAAUCUAGGUAUGGUAUCUGGUA